AAGACCCAGCGAUUGGCCAGC
This 21-nucleotide unclassified non-coding RNA is filed under the name Chlamydomonas reinhardtii. Its description in RNAcentral is "small RNA Cre_0091". The record is from RNAcentral. Lineage: Eukaryota; Viridiplantae; Chlorophyta; Chlorophyceae; Chlamydomonadales; Chlamydomonadaceae.